GAGGUGUUAACUUAAAUUUUAAAGUGUCAAAUUUUUAAUUUGAAAAUGUAAUAUGCACACCUUAG
This 65-nucleotide transfer RNA is filed under the name Macropostrongyloides spearei. RNAcentral describes it as "tRNA-Lys". It matches the Rfam family "tRNA". Rfam says of the family: Transfer RNA (tRNA) molecules are approximately 80 nucleotides in length. Their secondary structure includes four short double-helical elements and three loops (D, anti-codon, and T loops). Further hydrogen bonds mediate the characteristic L-shaped molecular structure. tRNAs have two regions of fundamental functional importance: the anti-codon, which is responsible for specific mRNA codon recognition, and the 3' end, to which the tRNAs corresponding amino acid is attached (by aminoacyl-tRNA synthetases). tRNAs cope with the degeneracy of the genetic code in two manners: having more than one tRNA (with a specific anti-codon) for a particular amino acid; and 'wobble' base-pairing, i.e. permitting non-standard base-pairing at the 3rd anti-codon position. The record is from RNAcentral. Lineage: Eukaryota; Metazoa; Nematoda; Chromadorea; Rhabditida; Strongylidae.